GACGAACGCUGGCGGCGUGCUUAACACAUGCAAGUCGAACGAUGAUCUCCCGCUUGCGGGGGUGGUUAGUGGCGAACGGGUGAGUAAUACGUGAGUAACCUGCCCUUGACACUGGGAUAAGCCUGGGAAACCGGGUCUAAUACUGGAUACUACUUCCUGCCGCAGGGUGGGGGGUGGAAAGGGGUUUAUUUGUUUUGGAUGGGCUCACGGCCUAUCAGCUUGUUGGGGGAGUAAUGGCUCACCAAGUCGACGUCGGGUAGCCGGCCUGAGAGGGUGACAGGCCCAGCUGGGACUGGGACACGACCCAGACCCCAAUGGGAGGCAGGAGGGGGGAAUAUUGCACAAUGGGCGGGAGCCUGAUGCAGCGACGCCGCGUGAGGGAUGAAGGACUUCGGGUUGUAAACCACUUUCAGCAGGGAAGAAGCCACAAGUGACGGAACCUGCAGAAGAAGCGCCGGCUAACUACGUG
Molecule: ribosomal RNA, 469 nt
Filed under: uncultured bacterium
Lineage: Bacteria
Description: partial 16S ribosomal RNA
Rfam family: Bacterial small subunit ribosomal RNA
Source: RNAcentral